Myotis brandtii (Brandt's bat) is the source of this 75-nucleotide non-coding RNA. Lineage: Eukaryota; Metazoa; Chordata; Mammalia; Chiroptera; Vespertilionidae. The record is from Rfam.
GGCAGUUCUCGGGUGAAGCACCCCGGAAUUGGGCUCCCUCCUCUUUGGUUUCAGGGGCGUCACCUGAGAACUGCA